AUCCAUUCGAUGUAUCGCAUUGUAAACAUCGAUGUUUUCAAUACAUCGAUGUAUAUCGAAUAUCCCUAGGUUCUCUAUUUCCUAUGUAUUACUUUUCUCUAUGACCACUACUAUUUUGUUGUUUUUUGACAGGCGAACUGUGUGUGUACAACAAACUUACCAAGACGUGUUUUUUGUGUUAUUUAUUUAUUCUUAGGGGCUGUUCUCCUCGGAUAAAGUAGGAUAGAGGACGAGAUUUCUGCGUAUUUUCUAAAAAAAAAAUUAUAUCGCUAUGGAUACAAUCUUGAAAUUGGACGAUAAUGAUACUUUUGAUUUGGUUCUAGAGGAGUUGUUGCGAAAAAACCAUGCAUCAAGACACUCAGUAAGUCCUGAGAUAGCAAAUGUAAUAGAAGCUGCCAAAGAAGAUUUACGAACAUCCUUGAUUAAAGCCAAUUUUAAUAUUGAUGAAGUAUCUGACCGUAUACUCGAUGGUAAUUACUGUCAAGAUAGAGCUUCAAAGUUUGUUACGCUAUUAAAAGAAACAAAGUCAGAGUUAUUUCGUUCCAUCAUUACACAUUACAAUAGUUCCUACGGUGAUGUUUGUAUGGACUUUGAUUGGUUUGUGAAGCUUGUACUAGGCACAAGUGAAUCUAAGGUCAUAAGAUAUCCUAUAAUACAAUUGGUAUUGUCAACUGUUAACUGUAAUAGUCAGCGAAAGCAGAAACUUUGUGAAAUGGACAAGGAUGUAUUAACUAGAUUAAUAAAAAACCUGGAAACUUCUCUGAAAGAAAGUCCACCUUAAUGUUUUGGAUUGAUAUUUAUUUGUUCAUUGCAAUAAUGAGACUAAAUCAGUUUUUAAUCUAUACUAAUAUUAUAAAGCUGAAGAGUUUGUUUGUUUGUUUGUUUGGUUGGUUGAACACGCUAAUCUCAGGAACUACUGGACCGAUUUGAAAAAUUCUUUUUGUGUUGGAUAGUCCGUUAGUUCCUGAAGGCUUUAGGCUAUAUACACUCGGCAUCAAAUAAAUCGCACCUCCCGCGACAAGCACUUAUCAAACGUAUGCAUCCCCACUUCCCACCAACAUUGGUACCAUUUGAAAGCCUAGUUCUAAACUUCAUUUCAUUAAAGGAAAGGCUUUUACCCCAAAAAUGUGUCUUUACAACGAUCCAGAGUCACUUCUUCAAAAAAUAGGUAGUUACGCUAUAGCCAUUUUUUAUGACUAUAAAACUGUUAAGUUGGGAUUAAUCGCUAUCCAUCUGUUAAAGAGGACACGUGAGAUCUUUAUUUGGUUUUAUAACCAUAAAAAUUGGUCUAAUUGAUCCCAGAGGUGAGCCCAAAGUGAGGUAUAUUUUCAAGUCACAUUUAUGGUAUAUGUUAAUUAUUUAUUUAGAAAUGAAAUGUAUUUUUCUUGAAGGAUAUUUAUUGGGCUUUCAAAUAACACCAAUAUUGUUGGGGUACCAUGAUUGUGUCAGAAGAAAAUCUUUAAAGUUCGCGUCGCGGAAGGUGCGGUUUAUUUGAUGUUGAGUGUAUCAUCACGCUAAGACCAAUAGGAGCGGAGCACCAAUGAAGAAUGUUUCAAAUCAGUGAUUUUUUUCCUUUUGAGAGCUGACGCUGCGUAAACGGUUAAAGUUUCGCAAAAAUCAUGUAUCACAGGAUUGUUCCCCUUUAAAAGUUCUAAAAAAAAGUCCGCGAUAGUAUAAUAUGUCUAUCUUUUAAGGUUGGCUCAUUUUUAUGCAAAAAGAAAUCUGUUUGAUAUUAAUGCAUUAUUUUCGGAGGUUUUUUCAUAAACAUGAUAUUAAUCCUUAUCCAAAUAAAUAAGUUAUUCAUCACAA
Long non-coding RNA from Ostrinia nubilalis (European corn borer), 1809 nucleotides. RefSeq lists it as uncharacterized. The record is from RefSeq and is a predicted model, not a curated record. Lineage: Eukaryota; Metazoa; Arthropoda; Insecta; Lepidoptera; Crambidae. The transcript is spliced from 2 exons.